RNAcentral lists this long non-coding RNA (567 nucleotides) under Phoenix dactylifera (date palm). RNAcentral's name for it is "long non-coding RNA (PDAC_LNC020191)". The record is from RNAcentral. Lineage: Eukaryota; Viridiplantae; Streptophyta; Magnoliopsida; Arecales; Arecaceae.
CGAUCCUUGAUCAACUCUUGAUCCCAUCGCCAUCAACCGCUUAGAUCACCUUUCAUCUCAUGCCUUUGCUUCAACUUGAUCGUUGAUGUACAUCACAUCACAGAAAUACAACCAGAUGUAAAAUAAAAAUAAAAAUAAAUUACAUCUCCUUUUAGGAGGCACGCAGGCCUCUCAAAACAUCAAAUAAGAUGCAUGCAAACAUCUGAAAAAUUACAUGACAUCGCAGAUCACAUCGCAGGUCAUUACAUUUGAUACCAAAAGGGGUUGAAUCCUAUGAUCAUCACCGUAUGCAACAAUUAUAAUUUUUAGAUCUGAAAACUAACUGAUUGUAUCAUGACAUAGGUCGCUGAUCAUGCUAAUCAUGAUUCUAAACUUUGUAAUCCCAUUAACAAUGCAUUUAGAAUCAUCUUUUUAUCACAUAAAAAUCAGCAUCAAAAAAUCAGCACCCCUGAAAAAUCUGCAUGCAGAAUUUUUCAGCAUGCAUGAUCAUUCAAUUUUCAGAUCUAAUAUGCCUUUAGAUAUUUAAUUCUUACCUUAAUCUACGAAGCCUAGGCUCUGAUACCACUG